UAGCAUGCUAGUUGCACGAGUUCAUACUCGUGGCGAAAGCUCAGAAACACGUGGCCAAACUACCCUACAGAGAACGAUAACCUCGGGAAACUGAGGCUAAUAGUUCAUACGGGAGUCAUGCUGGAAUGCCGACUCCCCGAAACGCUCAGGCGCUGUAGGAUGUGGCUGCGGCCGAUUAGGUAGACGGUGGGGUAACGGCCCACCGUGCCGAUAAUCGGUACGGGUUGUGAGAGCAAGAGCCCGGAGACGGAAUCUGAGACAAGAUUCCGGGCCCUACGGGGCGCAGCAGGCGCGAAACCUUUACACUGCACGCAAGUGCGAUAAGGGGACCCCAAGUGCGAGGGCAUAUAGUCCUCGCUUUUCUCGACUGUAAGGCGGUCGAGGAAUAAGAGCUGGGCAAGACCGGUGCCAGCCGCCGCGGUAAUACCGGCAGCUCAAGUGAUGACCGAUAUUAUUGGGCCUAAAGCGUCCGUAGCCGGCCACGAAGGUUCAUCGGGAAAUCCGCCAGCUCAACUGGCGGGCGUCCGGUGAAAACCACGUGGCUUGGGACCGGAAGGCUCGAGGGGUACGUCCGGGGUAGGAGUGAAAUCCCGUAAUCCUGGACGGACCACCGAUGGCGAAAGCACCUCGAGAAGACGGAUCCGACGGUGAGGGACGAAAGCUAGGGUCUCGAACCGGAUUAGAUACCCGGGUAGUCCUAGCUGUAAACGAUGCUCGCUAGGUGUGACACAGGCUACGAGCCUGUGUUGUGCCGUAGGGAAGCCGAGAAGCGAGCCGCCUGGGAAGUACGUCCGCAAGGAUGAAACUUAAAGGAAUUGGCGGGGGAGCACUACAACCGGGAGGAGCCUGCGGUUUAAUUGGACUCAACGC
RNAcentral lists this ribosomal RNA (870 nucleotides) under Haloferax sp. AA35. RNAcentral describes it as "bacterial SSU rRNA". It matches the Rfam family "Archaeal small subunit ribosomal RNA", at positions 46 to 918 of the family's 1478-position model. The record is from RNAcentral. Lineage: Archaea; Methanobacteriati; Methanobacteriota; Halobacteria; Halobacteriales; Haloferacaceae.